RNAcentral lists this microRNA precursor (103 nucleotides) under Marmota monax (woodchuck). Lineage: Eukaryota; Metazoa; Chordata; Mammalia; Rodentia; Sciuridae. The record is from RNAcentral.
AGUAGUAUAACUGGGUCAAAUGGUGCUACCAUUCCCAAGUGUUUGAGGAACCUCCAUACUUCUUUCAAUAAGGGUUGUACCAAUUUUUAGUCCCACCAGCAAU